RNAcentral lists this ribosomal RNA (409 nucleotides) under uncultured Nitrososphaerota archaeon. RNAcentral's name for it is "bacterial SSU rRNA". It matches the Rfam family "Archaeal small subunit ribosomal RNA", at positions 452 to 861 of the family's 1478-position model. Lineage: Archaea; Thermoproteati; Nitrososphaerota. The record is from RNAcentral.
CUGGUGUCAGCCGCCGCGGUAAUACCAGCACCCCGAGUGGUCGGGACGAUUAUUGGGCCUAAAGCAUCCGUAGCCGGCCUUACAAGUCCUCCGUUAAAUCCAGCUGCUUAACAGAUGGGCUGCGGAGGAUACUAUAAGACUAGGAGGCAGGAGAGGCAAGCGGUACUCAGUGGGUAGGGGUAAAAUCCGUUGAUCCAUUGAAGACCACCAGUGGCGAAGGCGGCUUGCCAGAAUGCGCUCGACGGUGAGGGAUGAAAGCUGGGGGAGCAAACCGGAUUAGAUACCCGGGUAGUCCCAGCUGUAAACGAUGCAGACUCGGUGGUGGACUAGCUUUAUGCUGGUCCAGUGCCGCAGGGAAGCCGUUAAGUUUGCCGCCUGGGUAGUACGGUCGCAAGACUGAAACUUAAAG